This 403-nucleotide ribosomal RNA is filed under the name uncultured bacterium. RNAcentral's name for it is "partial 16S ribosomal RNA". It matches the Rfam family "Bacterial small subunit ribosomal RNA", at positions 30 to 526 of the family's 1533-position model. The record is from RNAcentral.
AUUGAACGCUGGCGGCAGGCCUAACACAUGCAAGUCGAGCGAGCGGCGGACGGGUGAGUAAUGUAUGGGGACUGCCCGAUAGAGGGGGAUAACUACUGGAAACGGUAGCUAAUACCGCAUACUAUCGGAUAACCCAUAUGGGAUUAGCUAGUAGGUGAGGUACUGGCUCACCUAGGCGACGAUCCCUAGCUGGUCUGAGAGGAUGAUCAGCCACACGGGGACUGAGACACGGGCCAGACGCCGACGGAGGGAGCAGGGGGGAAUAUUGGAAAAUGGGGGAAAACCUGAUCCAGCCAUCCCGGGUGUAUGAUGAAGGCCUUCGGGUUGUAAAGUACGUUUGGCAGAGAAGCGGUAUCUGCAGAAUAAGCACCGGCUAACUACGUGCCAGCAGCCGCGGUAAUUC